Molecule: long non-coding RNA, 747 nt
Organism: Ixodes scapularis (black-legged tick)
Lineage: Eukaryota; Metazoa; Arthropoda; Arachnida; Ixodida; Ixodidae
Exons: 3
Source: RefSeq, a predicted model, not a curated record
GACAGUAUCUUUCAGAGCCGAGGAAUUACUAACUCAAAGACACUCAAGGAUAUCGUUCGUUGACUUUCAAACUUUCCGUGCCGCACCAUAGCGCCUUCCUCGUUUAGGGUGUCACUAUCCAAAGUUUGGUAAACACUGGUGUAAUCAUUAAUUUGCAAUGUAUGUUGGUAAGGACUUCAUGCUAGCGGUACUGUACUGACAUAAUUUCUUCUCUACUGCAUAGAAACUCGUGACAUCCUUUGAAUGGCUGACCAACCUUUUAACACCCCUGAUCCAAUUUAGUACUCUUUGGAUGCGACUGAAUUUUUUCUUCUAUGUAUGCUUAUUUUAUGCUGUUCUAGUUUGCAGAAACAGAAUCUGAUAUAUGCCGGUAUGUGUCCAAGAAACGGAUGCCUGUGCCUGUCAUCUUUAUGCAGGAUGGUGAAAUCUUGGCUUAUCUCACUAUAUGAAGAAGCGCAAGACCACGGUGCCCGAUGACGACCUGAUCAGCAAAGCCCGCUUUCAUCUCUCCAACUUCUUGAGUGAGAAGAAUCGACCUUCGAAGGCCGAAAAAGUGCCCACAGGUGCCCGACACAUCCUGUGCCCUUGGGGUCUCCUAAUGAAAAGUGGGCCAUCUCAGUGGAUGCGGGCCAGCGGCCUGGUUCUUCUCGCUUAAGAGUCCUGUCUAGAGAGAGCCAGCACCGGCCAUUGGUCACCUUUGUUACCUCGGUCCCUUAACGGUUCCUUUAUUUGCAGCGCCCUUCUGGG